AUUGAACGCUGGCGGCAUGCUUUACACAUGCAAGUCGAACGGCAGCACGGACUUCGGUCUGGUGGCGAGUGGCGAACGGGUGAGUAAUACAUCGGAACGUACCCAGUAAUGGGGGAUAACUAUCCGAAAGGAUAGCUAAUACCGCAUACGCCCUACGGGGGAAAGAGGGGGAUCGCAAGACCUCUUGUUAUUGGAGCGGCCGAUGGCUGAUUAGCUAGUUGGUGAGGUAAAGGCUCACCAAGGCGACGAUCAGUAGCGGGUCUUAGAGGACGAUCCGCCCAACUGGACGUGCGACGCGGUCCAGAGUCCUACGGGAGUAAGCAGUGGGGAAUCUUGGACAAUGGGCGCAGGCCUGAUCAAGCAAUGCCGCGUGCGUGAAGAAGUCCUUCGGGUUGUAAAGCGCUUUUGUCAGGGAGCAAAAGGUGGUGGCUAAUAUCCAUCGCUCUUGGGAGUACCUGAAGAAUAAGGACCGGCUAACUACGUGCCAGCCGCCGCCGUAA
RNAcentral lists this ribosomal RNA (500 nucleotides) under uncultured bacterium. RNAcentral's name for it is "partial 16S ribosomal RNA". It matches the Rfam family "Bacterial small subunit ribosomal RNA", at positions 30 to 523 of the family's 1533-position model. The record is from RNAcentral.